AAAGUGGAGGCUAUUGUAACUGAAGAGAACUGGAAAGUUCCACCGUAGAAGGUAAUAGUCCUGUAAGUGAAACGAGAAGACCACGAGUUAUGAUCCAGAGUACCACGAGACACGUGAAACCUUGUGGGAAGCAGGGAGGACCACCUCCCAAGGCUAAAUACUACCUGAUGACCGAUAGUGAAGCAGUACCGUGAGGGAAAGGUGAAAAGAACCCCGGGAGGGGAGUGAAAUAGAACCUGAAACCGUGUGCCUACAACCGCUCAGAGCCCCUUAUGAGGGUGAUGAGGUGCUUUUUGUAGAACGAGCCAACGAGUUACGGUAUGUAGCAAGGUUAAGUACUUAAGGUACGGAGCCGAAGGGAAACCGAGUCUGAAUAGGGCGACUAGUUGCAUGCCGUAGACCCGAAACCGGGUGACCUAUCCAUGGCCAGGUUGAAGCGAGGGUAAAACCUCGUGGAGGACCGAACCACGUUGCUGUUGAAAAAGCAUGGGAUGAGCUGUGGAUAGCGGAGAAAUUCCAAUCGAACCCGGAGAUAGCUGGUUCUCUCCGAAAUAGCUUUAGGGCUAGCGUCGAGUAUGAGUAGUGGAGGUAGAGCACUGAAUGGGCUAGGGGGCAUAGCGCUUACCGAACCUUAUCAAACUCCGAAUGCCACAUACUUUGAGCUCGGCAGUCAGACUACGAAUGAUAAGAUCCGUGGUCAAAAGGGAAACAGCCCAGAUCGUCAGCUAAGGUCCCAAAGUGUAAGUUAAGUGGGAAAGGAUGUGAGAUUUCUAAGACAACUAGGAUGUUGGCUUAGAAGCAGCCAUUCAUUAAAAGAGUGCGUAAUAGCUCACUAGUCGAGAGAUCUUGCGCCGAAAAUGUAACGGGGCUAAACUUACCACCGAAGCUACGGGCUUGAACUUAGUUCAAGCGGUAGGAGAGCGUCGUAACCGGGCUGAAGUCGUACCGUAAGGAGCGGUGGACUGGUUACGAGUGAGAAUGUUGGCAUCAGUAGCGAGAUGUGGGUGAGAAUCCCACAGGCCGAAAACCUAAGGUUUCCUCAGGAAGGUUCGUCCGCUGAGGGUUAGUCGGGACCUAAGCCGAGGCCGAAAGGCGUAGGUGAUGGACAACUGGUUGAUAUUCCAGUACCACUACCAUCGUUAUUAUCGAUGGCGUGACGCAGGAGGAUAGUGUGUGCUAGCUAUUGGAUGCUAGUCUAAGCGUUUAGGCAGUGAGAGUAGGCAAAUCCGCUCUCAUAAUGCUGAGGCGUGAUGGGGAAGGUUCUACGGAACCGAAGUACAUGAUUCCACGCUGCCAAGAAAAGCGUCUAGAGAGAGAAGUAGUGCCCGUACCGCAAACCGACACAGGUAGGUGAGGAGAGAAUCCUAAGGCCGGCGGAAGAAUUACAGUUAAGGAACUCGGCAAAUUGACCCCGUAAGUUCGCGAGAAGGGGUGCCUACGAGAGUAGGCCGCAGAGAAUAGGCCCAAGCAACUGUUUAGCAAAAACACAGGUCUCUGCUAAAGCGUAAGCUGAUGUAUAGGGGCUGACGCCUGCCCGGUGCUGGAAGGUUAAGGGGAACACUUAGCGCAAGCGAAGGUGUGAACUUAAGCCCCAGUAAACGGCGGCCGUAACUAUAACGGUCCUAAGGUAGCGAAAUUCCUUGUCAGGUAAGUUCUGACCCGCACGAAUGGCGUAAUGACUUGGGCACUGUCUCAACUGUAAAUCCGGCGAAGUUGUAGUGCGAGUGAAGAUGCUCGCUACCCGCGAUUGGACGGAAAGACCCCGUAGAGCUUUACUGUAGCUUAGCAUUGAGUUUUGGUAUUGUCUGUACAGGAUAGGUGGGAGACUAGGAAACCAGGGCGUCAGCCUUGGUGGAGUCAACCUUGGGAUACCACCCUGACAGUACUGAAAUUCUAACUGGCGGCCAUGAAUCUGGUCACAGGACAUUGUUAGGUGGGCAGUUUGACUGGGGCGGUCGCCUCCUAAAAAGUAACGGAGGCGCCCAAAGGUUCCCUCAGAACGGUCGGAAAUCGUUCGAAGAGUGCAAAGGCAGAAGGGAGCCUGACUGCGACACCCACAAGUGGAGCAGGGACGAAAGUCGGGCUUAGUGAUCCGGUGGUACCUCGUGGGAGGGCCAUCGCUCAACGGAUAAAAGCUACCUCGGGGAUAACAGGCUGAUCUCCCCCAAGAGUCCACAUCGACGGGGAGGUUUGGCACCUCGAUGUCGGCUCGUCGCAUCCUGGGGCUGAAGUAGGUCCCAAGGGUUGGGCUGUUCGCCCAUUAAAGCGGCACGCGAGCUGGGUUCAGAACGUCGUGAGACAGUUCGGUCCCUAUCCGUCGCGGGCGUAGGAAAUUUGAGAGGAGCUGUCCUUAGUACGAGAGGACCGGGAUGGACUGACCUCUGGUGUACCAGUUGUUCCGCCAGGAGCACAGCUGGGUAGCUAAGUCGGGAAUGGAUAAACGCUGAAAGCAUCUAAGCGUGAAGCCAACCUCAAGAUGAGAUUUCCCAUAGCGUAAGCUAGUAAGAUCCCUUGAAGAACACAAGGUUGAUAGGUCGGGGGUGUAAGCAUGGUAACAUGUUCAGCUGACCGAUACUAAUAGAUCGAGGGCUUGACCAA
RNAcentral lists this ribosomal RNA (2598 nucleotides) under Clostridium perfringens. RNAcentral describes it as "partial 23S ribosomal RNA". It matches the Rfam family "Bacterial large subunit ribosomal RNA", at positions 313 to 2925 of the family's 2925-position model. Lineage: Bacteria; Bacillati; Bacillota; Clostridia; Eubacteriales; Clostridiaceae. The record is from RNAcentral. RNAcentral also lists the same sequence under 1 other name.